This 677-nucleotide long non-coding RNA is filed under the name Nicotiana benthamiana. RNAcentral describes it as "long non-coding RNA (NBEN_LNC031535)". The record is from RNAcentral. Lineage: Eukaryota; Viridiplantae; Streptophyta; Magnoliopsida; Solanales; Solanaceae.
UUUAAUAUCUAUAUUAAUAUAAUAUCAAGUUUUGAAAUUAAGCUAUGUACACAGUCCAACAGUCUAGUACAAACAAUCAUAAUGUGCUGAUAAACUAAUUUCCAGCGUAACAAUCACAAUAUUUCAGUUCCAAACAGUCAUAUUAAUACAAAGGCAACUGUUCAAAUACACAAGACUGUUGAACCUAUAGACUAAGUAAAAUCAACAGAAAAUUCAUGAAGAAAACAAAUUAUUUAUCUUCAAAUAUGUUGUUCAGGCCAUUAUCUAUUACUUGAGACAAAAAGUAUACCUGGAAUAGGAAUAAAAUAAGAAGAAAUAGAAGUUAGCAACAACAAGCAAUAAUCAGCAGCAAUAAGUAAUAAUCCACAGCAACUUUGAAUUAAUUUCGAGCCAUAAAUGAUACCAAACGAACCAAGAGUUAAUUCCAAAUGAAUGACACCAAUAACACCCAAAACCAACUCAAAUAAGCUCAAUUGAACUCGAAGAUGACUCCAGGAACUUUUGAAGCUUCAACUAGUGAAUCACCAGGACAGAUUAUACCAUUUCUCAGCCUUAUAUAAGUUAAAAAAUUUAAUUUAGAGAUGAGAGCCUUCAGACUACCCUAAAAAUCUUAAUGAAAUAGUGAUUUUGGACUUUUUGUUGUCUCCCACUCUCAGAGCUUUUGGUGUACUCUUCUG